CCCGCCCCCCACAGCCCCGGAGAGCGGCGCCCGCCCGUGCCCGGCAGGUGACUCUCCCUGGCUGGUGUCUGGGACCAGGGCUCUUCGCCCGGCACGUUUCCCAGCAGCACGGACCCGGCAGUUAAGGCGCAGUUAGGUCCAUCAGGCCCCCAGCGGAGAUCAGGAGCGGAGGGGGGAGGGGGUCCGCCUUCCCCCCCGCUGGGAUCAGGAGCCGAGGGGGUCCGCCCUCCACCUGACCCUGCUCUGGGUCCGCGCAUGCGCGGGACGAGGACUCUAAUGUGAGCGACUGCGGGACCCUGGGCUGCACUGCGCACGCGGUCUGGCUUAGCCCCCACCCCAACGCCGGGAGGAAGGCGUGCUCUCUACCCUCGUUAUAGCGAUGGGGAACCUGCAAGGAUGUGACCCGCAUGACCUGGGAGUCCAGGAAGAAGCCGGAUGGGGUUGAGUCCUGUGUGAUCCGGGCUCCUGUCUGCUGCCACCCAUCUCGACAUCAUGGCUAGCCUCUCUACCUGUUCACUGGCCCAGGAUCCCUGUGCGCAUGGACUCCUGGCAUACCUCUCCCUUUCUGAGUCCUGUGGUUGACUCCACUCAGCUGGGUGGCUCUCACUGGGAGCCUGCCAUGCAGUUGCAGUCAGAUGGAAGCAGCAGUCAUCUGAAGGCUCAUCUGGGCUGGAUGUCCAAGGUGGCUUUUUAAAAACAGAAAUCUGACACCUCAUCUGAACUGGUUGGACCAGAUGGGGACUGGCCAGACAUUCCUCUCUCUCUAGAUAGUCUUUCCAUCUGGCUUGCUGAAGUUUUCCUUGUAGAUGGUGAUCUCAGGUAUUCAAACCUCAUACAUGAGUGGUGGCUGACUUUCCCCACCAUGAACAUUCCGACAGGCGACCUCCCUUUGGAAUUCAUGCAGCAUCACUUCCACAGUAUGCUAUGAGUGAAAAUGGAUCACAGGGAUGGCCCAGAUACAAGGGGAGGGGACAAUUCAUAGGUGAGAGUACAGGAAGCAUGCCUGGUUCAAUGGAGACCAUCUUUGGAUAUCAGCUAGUACAGAGGGCCAAGGCGGAAAUGAUCAACUCAGGAACUGCAUGUAUUCCUGUCUCAGCAGAAACCAGGGUGCAAAGGAGCAAAACUGGAAGUGAUGGCCUGUGACAUACCAUGGAGGGGUUCAAUGACAUGCUCCAGAACUUCUAAAUGGGUACCUUCUGGGGUCUUUAGCUGCCUAGCACCUAAGCCUCCUUCCUUUUUUGGAGGAUCCUCCUUAGUGAAGGUGUUAGUGGGAGGUCAGGAUCCCCACCCUUGACCCCUGAUAGGAAAGUCACAGAACUGUGACAUCAGAAGUAUGCCAAAUCAAUGAUCCCACUUGCGACUCUGAUCAGUAAGUGACCCAAGGAAGCAGAGGACUGUUUAUAAUUCAUUCUAGAGGCAGCAACAGCCAGUUCUCCGGGUAGUGGCUGUGCAAGAGAGGACCUCCAGAGCCCAGGGGCAGGAAUCCCCUAAUCAAACUGCCCUUAAGGCAAGACCUGACAGACGUUCUGGCUGCUUAGUUCCUCUUGAUUCCUGCCUACUUCCUGACACGGAUUCUGGAGGCUUCCUGUCAAUUUUGUGAGUUUUCUGAUAUCAUUCCAGUAAAUUCCUCUUCUACUUAAGUAAACCAGAGUCCAUUUCUGUUGUUUGCAAUUAAGAACCCUAAUUGGCACAAAGACCCAUUGAAAUCUUUAGCCAGAGGAAAUGACAUGAUCAGAGCACUUUAUGGAAGAGAAAAACAGAAAAAUCUGAUAAAGAUGAAGAGAGAGAAACAGGGAUGAGAGAGGCCAGUUGGGAGACUGUUGUGAUGUUUGGGGGUGUAUGGUGAAUUACAAUAUUGCCAGUGCCAAGGAAGUGGGAGAAAUGCAGCUUUUGGCCACUGACUGAAUAUGGAAAAAAGGAGAGAGGGGAAAAUCCACGCUGACAGAGUUUUGAGCCUUAGCAACAAGGAAAAUAAUAAUGUCAUAAAGAGAAACAAGCAAGUCAGGGAGAACUAAUUUGGAGGGGGAAAUAUUUCACUCAUUUAUUCAGUAAAUAUUAAUUGCCUGCUCCAUGCCAGGCACUGUUCUAGGCAGUGAGAAGACAGCAGGGAGCAAAACAAAGCUUCAGUCCUAAAUUAACAAAUAAGUACAUGAGAUAAUGAAACUGCUUUAAUAAAGCUUUAGUCUGCAGUGCCAUGGACACACAGCAAAACAUGUCUAACUGGCAGCAGGACUUUAAGAAAAAUCCUAGGAAGCAAGGCUGGGCCUAAAGACAAAUUGGUCAUCAUUCCCAUAGACAUUCAUUCAUUCAUUCAUUUACUUACUUUUAUUUAUUGAGUACCUCCUAUGUACUCAGUACCAUUCUUGCCAUAGGAAAAACAAAAAUAAAAAUAAAAGAGGAUCUCAGCUCUCGUGGAGUUUCCAUUAUAGAGUACAAGGGAGAUGGUAGACAAGUACACAAAUACGUCAGAUAUGUGAUGUGUACUAUGAAGAAACUAAAGGAAGGGAAAAGUAAGAGGAAGUUUGCUAGUUUAGAUAGUUUGUUCUAAGCAAAGGCCCCUCUUGUAAGGCGAUAUUAGAGUGAAGUCUUGAAUGAAGAGAGGCAACAUUCACAUGGUUACCAUGGGAAAUCUAUUUCAGGCAGAGGGAAUAAUAAGUGCAAAGGCCCUGAGGCAGGACAGUUUGGUUUCUUCAAAGAAUUUCCAGGAGACCAGUGUGGCUAAACUAAAUAGAUGAGGGCAGAAGUAGGAGGAGAACAGGUGAACGUGGGAGUGGGAGUGGGAGCCAGAUCUUGUAGGGCCUUGCCAGUCAUUGCAAAUACUUUGGCUCUUGUUCUGAAUGAGAUAGGAAGACUUUGGAGAAUUUUGAGCAGAGGAAGCAUGCUACAUGACUAACACUUUAAAAGGAUUAUUCUGGUGGCUGUGUAUAGAAUAGACUGGGGGUGUGUGAGGGCAGAAGCAGGAAGACCAACUAGAAGACAACUGCAGUCAUUCAAGGCAAGAGACCAUGGUGGCAUGGAGCAGGAUGGUAAUGAUGGAGGAGGGGACAUAUGAUAAGAUUCUAGAAAUAAACAGAAGGAGAACAAACAGGAUCUGCUGAUAGAUUGGAUGUGAGAUGUCAGAGAACUAAAGGACUCCAGUGACUCCAGCGCUUUUAAUAGGAAUCGGUAGAAGAGCAGUUGCCAUUUACUGAACAGAGAGGAUUGAGAAUUAUAUCUAGAGCUUCAAGAUUGCCUCCAGCCAGCCUGCCUGCCUGCCUGCCUGAAUAAUUUGCUCCAAAGCCAUGAUGGGGAGCCAAAGUAAAUCACCCAUGUGCAGGGAGCUGGGGGAGGACAUUCAGCUAGCAUAGGUUUUCGAGGCCAAGAUGAGAGAAGGUGGAAGUCUACAAGGGGGCAGCAGCAACGGCAGGGAAUAAAUUAUCUACAGAGGGAUUAAACAACCCUUCCAACAAGAAGAGAGAAGGAAGUCACAGAAAUAGAAAGGGGGUAAAUUAGAAUAAAUCUUGUGAUGUUGCGUUGGAAUUGAAGGUAUGGUGUGCGCUCAUAGUUUUCUACAUAGAGAGAUUGAGAGAUCGAUCAAUUGACAGAUAGAAAUGUAUGUGUAAAAUUAUACAUAUAUUUCCUAGCACUGUCCGUUGAGCAGCCCGAAAGCAGUGAUACCCCAAGAAAAAUGAGCAUACCUAGCACCUAGAUAUUAAUUUCUGAAUAUCCCUCCCCAUUAAAAAGAACAAAGGUGCCUCAGAGAAAUGAGGGUUGGAGCAGAGAAAAUACAAGAUUGGAGCUUGGAACAUCUUGUGCCAGAAAAUAAGGAAGUGAUCAAAGAACCAUGGUGGUAGAAGCCAGCUUGGCAGCUGGCCCAAUCUGGGAAAUUUUUUCAGCACUAAAAUAAAUAAUGAUGCAACAAGUAAAACACUCAUAUCUAUAAUAAUGUUGCCAAAGAUGCAUAGCCCAAAUCUAAUGAUGAGGAAACAACAGAUAAACCCAAACUGAGGGACAUUCUGCAGUAUGAUCGGUCUGCAGUCUUUUCGGUUGUCCCGGUCAUUAAAGUAAAGGAAAUCUUUGCUCUGUGUCAGACUGAAGGACACUGGAAAGACGUGAUAACCAAAUGUAAUGAAUAAUUCUGGACUGUAUCCUUUCAUCAUUAGGCCAAGUAAUGAAAGUCCAAUAAGGUCUGGGGGUUAGAUGAUAUGAAUGUAUCGAUGUUAAUUUCCUGAUCACGAGCAUUGUACUGUUAUUUAGGAUAAUGUCCCUUUUUUGUAAGAAAUUUGUGAUUGGGCAUCAUGUAGGCAACUUACUCUCAAGUGGUUCAAGGAAGGGGAAAGUUCCUUGUAUGUUGUAAUUUUUCUGUUAUAUCAAAUAAAAAGAAAAAAGACAAAGAA
This is a long non-coding RNA of Canis lupus familiaris (dog), 4376 nucleotides long. RefSeq lists it as uncharacterized. The record is from RefSeq and is a predicted model, not a curated record. Lineage: Eukaryota; Metazoa; Chordata; Mammalia; Carnivora; Canidae. The transcript has 3 exons.